CCUGGAGAAAUUGUAAAAAGCCUUGCAAAGAGUUGUCGGAAGGACCGUUAUUCCUGCUGGGCAGGAGCGAGAGGAGAGACCCUGAAACACACGCCACCUAUCUUUGUGGGGAGGGAUAAUUGAAGAGCACCAAACAUAUGGAUCAGGGGUGAGAUGGGCUCUCUUCCCGGCUCUGCUCUCCCUUGGAAGUAGCUGGAUGGGCAGAGAGACAGCGCGGGACUGAACUUCAGGGACGUUACAAGUUUUUCACCUUUUUCAUGUAUUAAAAUUAAAAUAAAAUUACAUAUAGAAAAAAAAGAAAAAAAAAAAAAGAAACCCAGACUCCACCUUUGCACUGAAGGGAUUGGUUAUGCAAAUAUGGAAGGGGUUUCCUGGCAAAUACAGCUUUCUACUGUAUGGUUAAU
Long non-coding RNA from Gymnogyps californianus (California condor), 404 nucleotides. RefSeq lists it as uncharacterized. The record is from RefSeq and is a predicted model, not a curated record. The transcript has 3 exons. NCBI's taxonomy places the organism in Eukaryota, Metazoa, Chordata, Aves, Accipitriformes, Cathartidae.